RNAcentral lists this ribosomal RNA (229 nucleotides) under uncultured bacterium. Its description in RNAcentral is "partial 16S ribosomal RNA". It matches the Rfam family "Bacterial small subunit ribosomal RNA", at positions 568 to 796 of the family's 1533-position model. The record is from RNAcentral.
CGCGUAGGUGGUCUGUUAAGUCAGCUGUGAAAGCCCUGGGCUUAACCUGGGAACUGCAGUUGAUACUGGCAGGCUAGAGUACGAGAGAGGGAGGUAGAAUUCCAUGUGUAGCGGUGAAAUGCGUAGAUAUAUGGAGGAAUACCAGUGGCGAAGGCGGCCUCCUGGCUCGAUACUGACACUGAGGUGCGAAAGCGUGGGUAGCAAACAGGAUUAGAUACCCUGGUAGUCC